UGGGGAAUAUUGCACAAUGGGCGCAAGCCUGAUGCAGCCAUGCCGCGUGUAUGAAGAAGGCCUUCGGGUUGUAAAGUACUUUCAGCGAGGAGGAAGGCGUUGUGGUUAAUAACCGCAACGAUUGACGUUACUCGCAGAAGAAGCACCGGCUAACUCCGUGCCAGCAGCCGCGGUAAUACGGAGGGUGCAAGCGUUAAUCGGAAUUACUCGGCGUAAAGCGCACGCAGGCGGUCUGUCAAGUCGGAUGUGAAAUCCCCGGGCUCAACCUGGGAACUGCAUCCGAAACUGGCAGGCUAGAGUCUUGUAGAGGGGGGUAGAAUUCCAGGUGUAGCGGUGAAAUGCGUAGAGAUCUGGAGGAAUACCGGUGGCGAAGGCGGCCCCCUGGACAAAGACUGACGCUCAGGUGCGAAAGCGUGGGGAGCAAACA
Molecule: ribosomal RNA, 427 nt
Filed under: uncultured bacterium
Lineage: Bacteria
Description: partial 16S ribosomal RNA
Rfam family: Bacterial small subunit ribosomal RNA
Source: RNAcentral